UUCUUAAUAAUAAAAUUGAGAAUGGAAAUGGGGAAUGUGUCAAAGAGACAACAACCCGACCAAAUAAAAAACAACAGCAGAGGGUCACCAACAGGUCUUCAAUGUAGCGAGAAAUUCCCGCACCCGGAGGAGUCCUUCAGCUGGCCCCUAAACAAAUAUAUACUAGUCCAGUAAUAAUGAACGCCAUACUAAUUUCCAAAUUGUACACAAGAAACUAAAAUUAAAAUAAUACAAGACUAACAAAGGCCAGAGGCUCCUGACUUGGGACAGGCGCAAAAA
Molecule: long non-coding RNA, 279 nt
Filed under: Mytilus galloprovincialis (Mediterranean mussel)
Lineage: Eukaryota; Metazoa; Mollusca; Bivalvia; Mytilida; Mytilidae
Source: RNAcentral